RNAcentral lists this ribosomal RNA (253 nucleotides) under uncultured bacterium. RNAcentral describes it as "partial 16S ribosomal RNA". It matches the Rfam family "Bacterial small subunit ribosomal RNA", at positions 524 to 776 of the family's 1533-position model. The record is from RNAcentral.
UACGAAGGGUGCAAGCGUUACUCGGAAUUACUGGGCGUAAAGGGUGCGUAGGUGGUUUGUUAAGUCUGCUGUGAAAUCCCCGGGCUCAACCUGGGAAUGGCAGUGGAUACUGGCAAGCUAGAGUGCGGUAGAGGGUAGUGGAAUUCCCGGUGUAGCAGUGAAAUGCGUAGAGAUGCGGAGGAACACCGAUGGCGAAGGCAGCCCCCUGGGCUGACACUGACGCUCAGGCACGAAAGCGUGGGGAGCAAACAGG